Molecule: long non-coding RNA, 817 nt
Filed under: Dromaius novaehollandiae (emu)
Lineage: Eukaryota; Metazoa; Chordata; Aves; Casuariiformes; Dromaiidae
Description: lncRNA (ENSDNVG00000009272.1)
Source: RNAcentral
GAGGGAAGCYGUUGGGCGUCUGAGGCGCCAUGAGCGGCGGUGAGGGCAGGCGCUACCCGGGCCGGCGCUGUCGUGUUUACUAACGUUUCACAGCCAACAGAACUGGCUGGGUUGGACCGCUGUUCACAAACUGAUCUCAACCCUUCCGAUCAGCGAAAAGUCAAGCAAGUAGGACAUCCCCUUUCAACAGAGAUUUAGAUUCAGAACUUUAGUCUGCAUCUCAGCCUGAAAUACAAGACAACAACUAGCUUUUGGCAAAUGCCAUAAAAGCAGCCCUUGGGACCGAGCUAGAGGUUCCUCAGAUACUGUACCCCUAAGGAUUCAUCCUUUCUAAUCUUCUAUUGUGCUGCUCACCUAACAGCAAGCAAGGAACUGCCUCAGCUGGCACCAUGGACAGAGGCCCCCUAUGAAGUGGCUGCAGUUGUAGACCGUCCGUUCCUGACGUGUCUUACUCGUGUGGCUUGGGUAAUUCAGAUUCACUGAAUUAGUUGCAGUGGUAGAUUUUGAGGGUGGAUAAUUCUUCCCUCAAAGCUGGAAAAAAUCAAUGAUUCCUCUCCUGUGAAAUAUCUUUAGUUUGGGGCUAUUUCAUAUUGACAACUGAUAGCUUAAAUAGUCUGGAGUAGUAUUCCCUAACACAAAAUGUGAGAAUAAUAGUAAAUACUAUUAUGAAUCUAUAGUCCAAGCUUGUAGGAUGACACUGGCAAACUUUGUUUUUUGUUAGUAGUCCUCUGCCCUCUAAAAUAUACUUUCAGCUUCCUGCUAUGUACCACCAUUGCUACACCUAAUAAACAUGUACAGUUCUAGCCCUAGGUGAACA